Molecule: long non-coding RNA, 1490 nt
Filed under: Parus major (Great Tit)
Lineage: Eukaryota; Metazoa; Chordata; Aves; Passeriformes; Paridae
Description: lncRNA (ENSPMJG00000000945.1)
Source: RNAcentral
UGUAAGAGCAUCCUACAAUGGGGGAUCUAAACCGAGAGACACAGGACAUGUUGAUGACUGAGUUAGGCUGUGGGCCUGAGAAACUGAAGCCAGGAGUUGCACAGGCAGCCGAAGCCAAGCACCUUUCAUCAGUGAUAUUACCAAUACCAAGCCUGAUAGAGUCCUUUGUGGUCAAGGUGAAAAAUUUUCCCUGACUUCUUUGAAAGCCUAUCUAGGACAUUGAUGAUGACUGACCUUGAAGGUGUUGAAGACCUGUAAAGUAUCCUUGUCUCCGGAAUCAUGGUUUUAUGAUUCUCAACAUUCCAUCAUGGAGAAGGAUCCCCACCCUACUUCAAAAGCCUUUUUGAAGGUCAGAAUGCAUUCUGUGAGUGGCAGCUCAUGUCACAUACCUCUGGAAAUCAGUUCUCUAAUACACAACUGUUUUGUAAUUUCAUCUAUUUUCUGCAUGUGGUUUGAUCACUUCCAGGCUGGUAUCCAGGGGGAGACUUGAGAACCAUCUCAGAGACAGAAGUGGACUUUUUAGCAGCUUGCUUAUUCCCAGGCUGAAGUCAAGAGUUCAUGGCACGAAUUAAGGAAGAAUUAAAAUGCUUAUGUAUCAACUAAUGCUGAUGAAAUUCAGUCUGAGGCUUCAAGAGUUAAUAUCCCAUCAUGUUCUUGAUGUUAUCCCAUUGCAUUAAUAUGGUUUGCUCGUUGAGUUCCUGAGGGUGGGGAAUGAGAGGAACUUGUGAGUGGCCUCUGGUUUUACCAGUGUACAAGGGAGGAAGUCUGGAGUGGCUGAAAUUCCCCCUUGCACACAGAUCCAGGUGAGUGGUGAGCAGGCUUCUUUCAAAAGCAGAACCUGUGGCACAUGGGCAUUGACUGAAAGGGAACAAACCAGACAGAGAAACUUCACUUUUCCAAGACAUUAGUAACUAACUGCAAAGCAAGAAAGCAUUUUGCAGAAUGAGAGUAGCCAGGCCCCAUCCCCUACAUCCUGCCCUGUUCAUCUCUGCCACUGCCAGAACCUGAGUAUGAAGGGCAUUUGUUCAGCGCAGCCAAAUGCAAGCAGAACAGUGGGAUAAAGAGGGGUAGAAAAUCAAGUGAGCAGAGCUAACACAAAAUGGAGACAAGGUAUUUCAGCACCUGACUCUUUGAGCAAGAGUCUAUAAAUCUUGUUCUCACUGUUAAAGGCACUCAAGACCGGAGGGAAGUCAUCAUGAGGGACAUGUAAUACUUUAUCCUUUUCCCCACUCACUUUCUCCAUGAAGGAAUUAUGAAGAGAAGAGUUCACAAGAAACAAAUAAGAGGACAAAGUAUCUUUCACUGAAUUUACUCUCGUGCAAAGCCAAUGACGCAAGUCUCCUGGGCAUAAAUUCAGUGUUUUGUAUAAACCUAAGGCUGUGUAUUUGAUACUUCAUACUGUUUUUUUCCAACCUGCUAAGUAUUGCCACGUAAUUUCCACACAGGACUAUUAUUAACACAAGUCUGUGCCACUGCUGUGGCCUCACAGA